This 887-nucleotide ribosomal RNA is filed under the name Leccinum caespitosum. RNAcentral's name for it is "eukaryotic LSU rRNA". The stretch from base 557 to 887 matches the Rfam family "Eukaryotic large subunit ribosomal RNA", at positions 1 to 322 of the family's 3401-position model. Lineage: Eukaryota; Fungi; Basidiomycota; Agaricomycetes; Boletales; Boletaceae. The record is from RNAcentral.
UCAUUGUGUAUUCAAUAAUGAUCCUUCCGUAGGUGAACCUGCGGAAGGAUCAUUAUUGAAUACACAAUGACUGUUGCUGGCUAGGUCAUUCUAGCAUGUGCACGUCUACACUCUCCACACCUGUGCACCAAUUGUAGAUAACCCUCGAAAGAGGAUUCUAUGUCUUUAAUAAUCUCAUCUAUUGUAUGUCCUUAGAAUGUAACAAAAAAAAUUAUACAACUUUCAGCAACGGAUCUCUUGGUUCUCGCAUCGAUGAAGAACGCAGCGAAUUGCGAUAAGUAAUGUGAAUUGCAGAUUUUCAGUGAAUCAUCGAAUCUUUGAACGCACCUUGCGCUCCUUGGUAUUCCGAGGAGCAUGCCUGUUUGAGUGUCAUUUAAUUAUCAACCAAAAGUCUUCAUUGGCUUUUGGCUUGGACUUGGGAUUUGCUGGCCUAGUCAGCUGUCCUUAAAAGCAUUAGCAAGUGAAGUAGACGUGCACGGCCUCUGACGUGAUAAUGAUCGUCGUGGGCUGGAAGCGUCAUAAUGAAGCUUGCUUAAAUUAAUCUCUAUUACCAUUUUGACCUCAAAUCAGGUAGGACUACCCGCUGAACUUAAGCAUAUCAAUAAGCGGAGGAAAAGAAACUAACAAGGAUUCCCCUAGUAACUGCGAGUGAAGAGGGAAAAGCUCAAAUUUUGAAUCUGGCAGUCGUUUUGGCUGUCCGAGUUGUAAUCUAGAGAAGUGUCUUCCGUGCUGGCCCGUGUACAAGUCUCCUGGAAGGGAGCGUCAUAGAGGGUGAGAAUCCCGUCUUUGACACGGACUACCAGUGCUAUGUGAUGCACUCUCGACGAGUCGAGUUGUUUGGGAAUGCAGCUCAAAAUGGGGUGGUAAAUUCCAUCUAAAGCUAAAUA